This 247-nucleotide ribosomal RNA is filed under the name uncultured bacterium. RNAcentral describes it as "partial 16S ribosomal RNA". It matches the Rfam family "Bacterial small subunit ribosomal RNA", at positions 523 to 769 of the family's 1533-position model. The record is from RNAcentral.
AGACGUAGGGGGCAAGCGUUGUCCGGAAUUACUGGGUGUAAAGGGUGCGUAGGCGGAUUUGCAAGUCAGGUGUGAAAACUAUCGGCUUAACCGGUAGCCUGCACUUGAAACUGUAAGUCUUGAGUGGUGAAGAGGUAAGCGGAAUUCCUAGUGUAGCGGUGAAAUGCGUAGAUAUUAGGAGGAACACCAGUGGCGAAGGCGGCUUACUGGGCACUAACUGACGCUGAGGCACGAAAGCAUGGGGAGC